Molecule: long non-coding RNA, 802 nt
Filed under: Populus trichocarpa (black cottonwood)
Lineage: Eukaryota; Viridiplantae; Streptophyta; Magnoliopsida; Malpighiales; Salicaceae
Description: long non-coding RNA (PTRI_LNC004846)
Source: RNAcentral
AUAAUGAAAGAGAAAUACAGCAAGGGAUAAAGAUUGGCACCCUAUUUUGACUUGGACAGGUGUUGUGACAGGAUGAGCUGCUGUCAAACAUAAGCAAGGAAUAGGGAGAAAUCUGGAGAACAGAAAUUGCACGAGGGCACACGAAAAUUGUGCAGGAGUACCCGUAGGAUCCAAUGAGGUACUGCAAUGAGACAACAGGUGCAAGGAGAAGAAGUGUUCCCAGAUGAAGCUCAGAGCAGAGACUGUUAAAGGUUGUACAACAGGAAGUCUCUUAUGCUCUUAAUGAAGACAACAGGCGAAGACCUUUCCAAUGCAUGCAAGGAUGGAAAGAGAGCUGUUGUAGAAGCACCUAAUUGAGGGGGUGCAAACGCCUGUGAUAAAAGGCGACCGCCUAUGUUGAAAGGCGAAGACACCAAAGAGAGUUGGUGUAGGUGGAGCUGUCAAGCAGAAAGGCAUAGAAGCUCCAAACAUAGAAAUCGAGGUGGAGGAUUGCGAGGAGUAUACCGCAAGUUUCUCUUUCUAUGUAAUCAGUGGCAGUUAUCUCUCCCAUAGUGCACAUGGUGGUAGAGAACUUUUUUGGAGCCACUUUGAAGCAUCUCAGCUGAAGGAGGAUGCGACCGCCUAUGAAAGGCGAAGAUACCUUGGAGAAGGUGUGAGGGCCAUGAGAGGAGCCCCAGUUCAGACCGCCCCAUGACAACGGGCGAAGACACCUUAGAGAAGGUGUAUGGGCCACGAUAGGAGCCCAAGUUCAGAACAACCCCAGAGCCAAUGUGAUGGUUGGAUAUGAGUGGACAGAUGGAUA